GAUGAACGCUGGCGGCGUGCUUAACACAUGCGAGUCGAACGAGAAAUGUAGACGGAAACCUUCGGGCGGAAGCCUUCAUUUCGAGUGGCGGACGGGUGAGUAACGCGUGGGUAACCUGCCUCAUACAGGGGGAUAACAGUUGGAAACGACUGUUAAUACCGCAUAAGACCACAGCAUCGCAUGAUGCGGGGGUAAAAACUCCGGUGGUAUGAGAUGGACCCGCGUUCGAUUAGCCAGUUGGCGGGGUAACGGCCCACCAAAGCGACGAUCGAUAGCCGAUCUGAGAGGAUGACCGGCCACAUUGGGACUGAGACACGGCCCAAACUCCUACGGGAGGCAGCAGUGGGGAAUAUUGCACAAUGGGGGAAACCCUGAUGCAGCGACGCCGCGUGAGUGAAGAAGUACUUCGGUAUGUAAAGCUCUAUCAGCAGGGAAGAAAAUGACGGUACCUGAGUAAGAAGCCCCGGCUAACUACGUG
This 478-nucleotide ribosomal RNA is filed under the name uncultured bacterium. RNAcentral describes it as "partial 16S ribosomal RNA". It matches the Rfam family "Bacterial small subunit ribosomal RNA", at positions 28 to 507 of the family's 1533-position model. The record is from RNAcentral.